RNAcentral lists this long non-coding RNA (1980 nucleotides) under Canis lupus familiaris (dog). RNAcentral's name for it is "lncRNA (ENSCAFG00845028561.1)". The record is from RNAcentral. Lineage: Eukaryota; Metazoa; Chordata; Mammalia; Carnivora; Canidae.
UCUCCCUCUGCCUGUGUCUCUGCCUCUCUCUCUCUCUCUCUCUCUCUGAGUCUCAUGAAUAAAUAAAAUCUUAAAAAAAAAAAAAAGCAUUGGUGUAUUCAUAUCAAAAUGAAAUUUUGUAGUAUUUUUAUUUUGUUUCUUAUUAUUUUUUUAAGAUUUUAUUUAUUUAUUUCACAGAUAGAAAGUAUGAGCGGGGGAGAGGAAGAGAGAAAAUGUUAAGUCGACUCCACACUAAGCACAGAGCCUGAUAUGGGGCUUGAUCUCACGACCCUGAGAUCACAACCUGAGCUGAAGUCAAGAGUUGAUCUCCCAACUAACAGAACCACCCAGGGGCUCCUGUAGUAUUUUUCUUUAAUCGAAAUUUGUUUGCUAGUUAAAUUUUCUCUAACAUUUUUCAUAAUUAUAUCAUGUUUGAUUUAACCAUGAAAGCUCUGUAACACCUGGAAUAUGUAUACAUAAUAUAAAUUCUACUUGAACAUCUUUUUUUUAAAAGAAAAUUAUACCACUUUAUGAGAUUGAGAAAUUUUUCAUCCUGUCCCAUUAGUGUUAUGAAGUGAAAUUAACAUGCUCCUGCCCCCAAAUCAUAAGUUGAAACCCUAAUUCCCAAUGUGAUGGUAUUAAGAGGUGGGAACUUUGGGAAAUAAGUUUAGACCGUGUUAUGAUGGUGGGAUCCUCUUAAUGGGAUUAGUGCCCUUAGAAGAAGAGGGAGAGAACCACGUGAAUACAUGAUAAGGCAGCACUCUAAACCAGGAAGUGGAGCUUCAGUAGGCACUUCCUCUUGGACUUCCCAGCCUCCAGAACUGUGAGAAAUAUAUGUUGUUUAAGCCACCCAUAAAAAAUAUGGUAUUUUUGUUAUAGCAGCCCCAGCUAACUAAAUAAAAUAGUAUAGAAUAAGUAGUGAUAAGUAAUAGUAAUAGAAAAUAAAAAGUAUGAAGAGAUUCUAAGUGGAAUUUCCAAUUAGUAGAGUUUACUCUUACGUAACUAUUUUGUGAAUUGCCUGAUAUUAAGGAUGCACGUAGAAUUUUUGAGUUGCCAGACUAUAUUACUUAUUUUUAAAAUUUUAAUUCCAGGAUAGGUAUCUUACAGUGUUAUAGAAGUUUCAGAUGUACAGUAUAGUGAUUCAACAAUUCUAUACAUAACUCAGUGCUUAUCAGAUGAGUGUACUCUUAAUCCCCUUCACCUCUUUCACCUACCCUUCCACCCACCUACCUUCUGGUAACCAUCAGUUUGUUCUCUAUAGUUAAGAAUGUUUUUUGGGGCAGCCCGGGUGGCUCAGCGGUUGAGCACCUGCCUUCAGCCCAGGGUCUGAUCCUGGAGACCCGGGAUUGAGUCCCACAUCGGGCUCCCUGCAUGGAGUCUGCUUCUCCCUCUGCCUGUGUCUCUGCCUCUCUCUCUCUCUGUGUCUCUCAUGAAUAAAUAAAAUAUUUAAAAAAUAAUAAUAUUAAAAAAAGAAUUUUUUUGAUUUGUCUCUUUUUUCCUCUGUUUCUUAAAUUCCACAUAUGAGUGAAAUCAUAUGGUAUUUGUCUUUUUUCUGACUGACUUAUUUUACUUAGCGUUAUACUUUCUAAUCCAUCCAUGUUGUUGCGAACAGAUUACUAUUUAAAUAAUAAUUGUAAAAAUUGCCUUUACAAAUAAAUUGUUGGGUUUAAUAAAUCAUUAUUCAAAUAUUUAUAUUCUACGUUUGAAUACCAACUCAUUGAGUUAUAGUAUCUUUCUGUAAUUUAAAAGGAAGAAAUUGACAUUUAAAAUUUUUUAUAGGAACCUAAUUUGAAAAAGAUUUUUAAAUAGUUAAAUUGAGGGAUGCCUGGGUGGCUCAGCUGUUAAAGGUCUGCCUUUGACUCAGGGCAUGGUUCUAGAGUUCAAGGAUUGAGUCCCACGUCGGGCUCCCUGCAUGGAUCCUGCUUCUCCCUCUGCCUAUGUCUCUGCCUCUCUCUCUCUGUAUCUCUUAUGAAUAAAUAAAAUCUUAAAAAAAAAAAAAAA